This is a long non-coding RNA of Antechinus flavipes (yellow-footed antechinus), 335 nucleotides long. RefSeq lists it as uncharacterized. The record is from RefSeq and is a predicted model, not a curated record. Lineage: Eukaryota; Metazoa; Chordata; Mammalia; Dasyuromorphia; Dasyuridae. The transcript has 2 exons.
AUUGACAACAUUAUCCCUUGCACUCGUUUCUUUUCCGAUUUUUUUCCCCUCCCUCCCUCCACCCCCUCCCCUAGAUGGCAAGCAGUCCUUUAUAUGUUGGAUAUGUUGCAGUAUAUCCUAGAUACAAUAUAUGUUUGCAGAACCGAACAGUUCUCUUGUUGCAUAGGGAGAAUUGGAUUCAGAAGGUAUAAAUAACCCGGGAAGAAAAACAAAAAUGCAGAUAGUUCACAUUCGUUUCCCAGUGUUCUUUCUUUGGGUAUAGCUGCUUUUGUCCGUCAUUUAUCAAUUGAAACUCAGUUAGGUCUCUUUGUCAAAGAAAUCCCCUUCCAUCAAAA